Non-coding RNA from Ceratotherium simum simum (southern white rhinoceros), 282 nucleotides. The record is from RefSeq and is a predicted model, not a curated record. NCBI's taxonomy places the organism in Eukaryota, Metazoa, Chordata, Mammalia, Perissodactyla, Rhinocerotidae.
CAGUUCUCACACCACCGCCACGCUCUCUAUCCAUUUUGAUUCAGAAAAUGGUGGGCAACAGGGCAUGCUGGGGAGGUGGGCGGGAACCAUGCGUGCGUGCCAGCUUCCUAUUGCGGAGGAUGUGGGUGUGUUGAGCGGAAGGUUACGAAAGAGAGGGAAAAGAUGGUCUUUUUUCAAAAGAAAAUUCCUGACAUGAUAACACACCAGAAGAUGUCAUUUCGGGGAUCUUCAUGUCUCCAGACCAGUCUUCAGGGAUAUGGCAGCCUGAUGGAUGCUAGAUUC